GCCUGACUAGCUCAGUCGGAAGAGCAUGAGACUCUUAAUCUCAGGGCCGGGGGUUCGAGCCCCCCGUUUGGCG
Molecule: non-coding RNA, 73 nt
Organism: Daphnia pulex (common water flea)
Lineage: Eukaryota; Metazoa; Arthropoda; Branchiopoda; Diplostraca; Daphniidae
Source: Rfam